RNAcentral lists this ribosomal RNA (446 nucleotides) under uncultured bacterium. RNAcentral describes it as "partial 16S ribosomal RNA". It matches the Rfam family "Bacterial small subunit ribosomal RNA", at positions 354 to 796 of the family's 1533-position model. The record is from RNAcentral.
GUGAGGAAUAUUGCGCAAUGGACGAAAGUCUGACGCAGCCAUGCUGCGUGAAGGAUUGACGGCCCUAUGGGUUGUAAACUUCUUUUGUAUAGGAAUAAACCCUCGUUCGUGAACGAGGCUGAAGGUACUAUAAGAAUAAGCACCGGCUAACUCCGUGCCAGCAGCCGCGGUAAUACGGAGGGUGCAAGCGUUAUCCGGAUUUAUUGGGUUUAAAGGGUCCGUAGGCGGAUCGUUAAGUCAGUGGUGAAAUCCUACCGCUCAACGGUAGAACUGCCAUUGAUACUGGCGAUCUUGAGUAUGUAUGAAGUUGGCGGAAUGUGUGGUGUAGCGGUGAAAUGCUUAGAUAUCACACAGAACACCGAUUGUGAAGGCAGCUGACUAAUACACAACUGACGCUGAGGGACGAAAGUGUGGGGAUCAAACAGGAUUAGAUACCCUUGUAGUCC